CAGGGAAUAUUGCGCAAUGGACGGAAGUCCGACGCAGCGACGCCGCGUGGGUGAAGAAGGCCUUCGGGUUGUAAGCCCUUUUCUGGGGGAAGAGCAAGGACGGUACCCCAGGAAUAAGUGUCGGCUAACUACGUGCCAGCAGCCGCGGUAAUACGUAGGACACGAGCGUUAUCCGGAUUUACUGGGCGUAAAGCGCCUGUAGGUGGACAAACAAGUCGGCUGUGAAAGCCUCGGGCUUAACCCGGGGAGGCCAGGCGAUACUGUUUGACUUGAGGGUGACAGAGGGGAGUGGAAUUCCCGGUGUAGCGGUAAAAUGCGCAGAUAUCGGGAGGAACACCAGUGGCGAAGGCGGCUCCCUGGGUCAUACCUGACACUGAGAGGCUAAAGCUAGGGGAGCAAACAG
This 403-nucleotide ribosomal RNA is filed under the name uncultured bacterium. Its description in RNAcentral is "bacterial SSU rRNA". It matches the Rfam family "Bacterial small subunit ribosomal RNA", at positions 355 to 775 of the family's 1533-position model. The record is from RNAcentral.